This 215-nucleotide ribosomal RNA is filed under the name uncultured bacterium. RNAcentral's name for it is "partial 16S ribosomal RNA". It matches the Rfam family "Bacterial small subunit ribosomal RNA", at positions 309 to 525 of the family's 1533-position model. The record is from RNAcentral.
CGCCCGCCGCGCGCGGCGGGCCUACGGGAGGCAGCAGUGGGGAAUAUUGCACAAUGGGCGCAAGCCUGAUGCAGCCAUGCCGCGUGUAUGAAGAAGGCCUUCGGGUUGUAAAGUACUUUCAGCGGGGAGGAAGGCGAUAAGGUUAAUAACCUUGUCGAUUGACGUUACUCGCAGAAGAAGCACCGGCUAACUCCGUGCCAGCAGCCGCGGUAAUA